UGGAGAGUUUGAUCCUGGCUCAGAGUGAACGCUGGCGGCGUGCCUAACACAUGCAAGUCGAACGAUGAAGUCCUUCGGGAUGGAUUAGUGGCGCACGGGUGAGUAAUGCAUAGAUAAUGUGCCCCUUAGUUCGGGAUAGCCACUGGAAACGGUGAUUAAUACCGGAUACUCCUUCUUGUCUCAAGGCAAGUCGGGAAAGUUUUUCGCUAAGGGAUCAGUCUAUGUUCCAGCAGGUAGUUGGUGAGGUAAUGGCUCACCAAGCCUAUGACGGAUAUCUGGUUUGAGAGGAUGAUCAGACACACUGGAACUGAGACACGGUCCAGACUCCUACGGGAGGCAGCAGUGAGGAAUAUUGCACAAUGGAGGAAACUCUGAUGCAGCAACGCCGCGUGGAGGAUGACGCAUUUCGGUGUGUAAACUCCUUUUAUUAGGGAAGAUAAUGACGGUACCUAAUGAAUAAGCACCGGCUAACUCC
Molecule: ribosomal RNA, 475 nt
Filed under: uncultured Campylobacterota bacterium
Lineage: Bacteria; Pseudomonadati; Campylobacterota
Description: bacterial SSU rRNA
Rfam family: Bacterial small subunit ribosomal RNA
Source: RNAcentral